This 75-nucleotide transfer RNA is filed under the name Thermopolyspora flexuosa. Its description in RNAcentral is "tRNA-Arg". The record is from RNAcentral. Lineage: Bacteria; Bacillati; Actinomycetota; Actinomycetes; Streptosporangiales; Streptosporangiaceae.
UCGCCCCUCGGCAAUGGACGUGCGGCCGGGCCUCCGAAGCCCGGUCACCCGGUUCGAUUCCGGGCGGGGGGACCA